Podarcis lilfordi (Lilford's wall lizard) is the source of this 122-nucleotide non-coding RNA. Lineage: Eukaryota; Metazoa; Chordata; Lepidosauria; Squamata; Lacertidae. The record is from the annotation of a GenBank genome assembly.
CUUCCAGUAGCACCUUAGAGACCAACUAAGUUUGUUAUUGGUAUGAGCUUUCGUGUGCAUGCACACUUCUUCAGAUGUAUAUCAAUAACAAACUUAGUUGGUCUCUAAGGUGCUACUGGAAG